Vigna radiata var. radiata (mung bean) is the source of this 189-nucleotide long non-coding RNA. RefSeq lists it as uncharacterized. The record is from RefSeq and is a predicted model, not a curated record. The transcript is spliced from 3 exons. Lineage: Eukaryota; Viridiplantae; Streptophyta; Magnoliopsida; Fabales; Fabaceae.
AUUGUUCCUCACGUUUUCCCUUUUGAGGAGAGAUUGUAAAUGGUCAUGAAGUUUUGAGCAAAUUUGUUGGGGAAAUUGAAAAGAAUGUGAGAGACCUUUUUGCUGACGCCGAACAGGAUCAGAGGACCCGAGGGGAUGAAAGUGAUUUGGAUGUUAUAAUCUUUUAUGAAAUUGAUGCUAUUUGCAAGG